Molecule: long non-coding RNA, 636 nt
Filed under: Nicotiana tabacum (common tobacco)
Lineage: Eukaryota; Viridiplantae; Streptophyta; Magnoliopsida; Solanales; Solanaceae
Description: long non-coding RNA (NTAB_LNC015781)
Source: RNAcentral
UAUAUUAUGAACCCAUAAUUUCAAAACUAUAAUACUACCAGUGCUAAGAAUUUUAAGGGCUGAACCCAUCAAAGUUCAACUCCUGGAUCGGCCUUUCGCUCUCUCUCAAGUACAAUACGUUCAGUUCUAAGUAUAUUAUGAACCCUUCUGACUGAUUCUUUUGUUUGUUUGAUUUUUCCAGUGUACUUCAAGGAAGUGUGGGUGAGCAUUGCUUUCACCACUGUAAAACAGCCCCAAUCAUAAUAGUUCCUGGAAAAGGUACUAUGUCCACGAAUUUUAUUCUCUAGCUUUGCUUCACUUCAUGUUUUGUUUUUCUAAAUUUUUCUUUUGGGGUGUUUGUGAUAGUUACAAAAAUCUGAACAAAAACUAAUUUUGUUAAGCAGAAGCAGGGGAGGAAUCUGUAAUUUAAUGGGAACUUGCCAAGUUUGAGUACUGCUGAUGAUCAUGCAGUAUAGCAGCAGCUUGUUUGCUAUUCACAGGAUAUUCCUUCAUAUUGUUGUAGAAGAAAGUUCUGCUAUUAUUGAUGUAAAUUUUUUGUUUUCUGGCGUAUUCUGGAUCUACUUUGUGUAUUUCACUAUUCAUGAUUUGUUUGUUCAACUUCAACUACCAAUAUGUUGUUAAUAUGAUUAAGAAUUC